UGCAAGUCGAGCGGUAGCACAGAGAGCUUGCUCUCGGGUGACGAGCGGCGGACGGGUGAGUAAUGUCUGGGAAACUGCCUGAUGGAGGGGGAUAACUACUGGAAACGGUAGCUAAUACCGCAUANNGUCGCAAGACCAAAGUGGGGGACCUUCGGGCCUCAUGCCAUCAGAUGUGCCCAGAUGGGAUUAGCUAGUAGGUGGGGUAACGGCUCACCUAGGCGACGAUCCCUAGCUGGUCUGAGAGGAUGACCAGCCACACUGGAACUGAGACACGGUCCAGACUCCUACGGGAGGCAGCAGUGGGGAAUAUUGCACAAUGGGCGCAAGCCUGAUGCAGCCAUGCCGCGUGUGUGAAGAAGGCCUUCGGGUUGUAAAGCACUUUCAGCGGGGAGGAAGGCGGNGAGGUUAAUAACCUNNUCGAUUGACGUUACCCGCAGAAGAAGCACCGGCUAACUCCGUGCCAGCAGCCGCGGUAAUACGGAGGGUGCAAGCGUUAAUCGGAAUUACUGGGCGUAAAGCGCACGCAGGCGGUCUGUCAAGUCGGAUGUGAAAUCCCCGGGCUCAACCUGGGAACUGCAUUCGAAACUGGCAGGCUAGAGUCUUGUAGAGGGGGGUAGAAUUCCAGGUGUAGCGGUGAAAUGCGUAGAGAUCUGGAGGAAUACCGGUGGCGAAGGCGGCCCCCUGGACAAAGACUGACGCUCAGGUGCGAAAGCGUGGGGAGCAAACAGGAUUAGAUACCCUGGUAGUCCACGCCGUAAACGAUGUCGAUUUGGAGGUUGUGCCCUUGAGGCGUGGCUUCCGGAGCUAACGCGUUAAAUCGACCGCCUGGGGAGUACGGCCGCAAGGUUAAAACUCAAAUGAAUUGACGGGGGCCCGCACAAGCGGUGGAGCAUGUGGUUUAAUUCGAUGCAACGCGAAGAACCUUACCUGGUCUUGACAUCCACAGAACUUUCCAGAGAUGGAUUGGUGCCUUCGGGAACUGUGAGACAGGUGCUGCAUGGCUGUCGUCAGCUCGUGUUGUGAAAUGUUGGGUUAAGUCCCGCAACGAGCGCAACCCUUAUCCUUUGUUGCCAGCGGUUAGGCCGGGAACUCAAAGGAGACUGCCAGUGAUAAACUGGAGGAAGGUGGGGAUGACGUCAAGUCAUCAUGGCCCUUACGACCAGGGCUACACACGUGCUACAAUGGCAUAUACAAAGAGAAGCGACCUCGCGAGAGCAAGCGGACCUCAUAAAGUAUGUCGUAGUCCGGAUUGGAGUCUGCAACUCGACUCCAUGAAGUCGGAAUCGCUAGUAAUCGUAGAUCAGAAUGCUACGGUGAAUACGUUCCCGGGCCUUGUACACACCGCCCGUCACACCAUGGGAGUGGGUUGCAAAAGAAGUAGGUAGCUUAACCUUCGGGAGGGC
RNAcentral lists this ribosomal RNA (1403 nucleotides) under Klebsiella pneumoniae. RNAcentral describes it as "bacterial SSU rRNA". It matches the Rfam family "Bacterial small subunit ribosomal RNA". The record is from RNAcentral. Lineage: Bacteria; Pseudomonadati; Pseudomonadota; Gammaproteobacteria; Enterobacterales; Enterobacteriaceae.